RNAcentral lists this ribosomal RNA (253 nucleotides) under uncultured prokaryote. RNAcentral describes it as "partial 16S ribosomal RNA". It matches the Rfam family "Bacterial small subunit ribosomal RNA", at positions 524 to 776 of the family's 1533-position model. The record is from RNAcentral.
GACGAACCGUGCAAACGUUAUUCGGAAUCACUGGGCUUAAAGGGCGCGUAGGCGGGCUUCCAAGUCGGUGGUGAAAUCUUUCGGCCCAACCGGAAAAGUGCCGCCGAUACUGGGAGCCUCGAGGGAGGUAGGGGUCGAGGGAACUCUAGGUGGAGCGGUGAAAUGCGUAGAUAUCGUUUGGAACGCCAAUGGUGAAAACAGGUCGCUGGGGAUGAGCUGACGCUGAGACACGAAAGCCAGGGGAGCAAACGGG